AAGGGUGAUUAUGAACCUAAGCCUAAUAUAAUUGAGCUAUGUGAAAGGCCGUUUCAAAAUUGUUUGAACCAUGGGAAUGUGUAGAUUAGAUUUUGGUUGUAAUUUGAUUUGAUCAAAUGUUGUAAAAGGGCAUAAGCCCUUCUUUACUUUAAGGUAAUUUGUUUUAUGCAAAUGUUGUAAUGAGCAUAAGCUCACCUUUACUUUGAAGUACUUCUUUCUUGCUUUAUAUGAUAUGCAUGAAAAUGAAGUAGUUGGGUCCAACGCCCCUAAGACAACAUGCCUUAAUGUGAUUAAACGCGUAACUAAAAUCAAUCACCAUCCCUAGACCGAGAUUCAAGACUAGGCUCGUGUUGAAUCUAAACAAAGGUUCAUAAUCAUCCUAAGGCCCUAAGGCAACUAUAUAGUCCAUCAAAUG
RNAcentral lists this long non-coding RNA (415 nucleotides) under Malus domestica (apple). RNAcentral's name for it is "long non-coding RNA (MDOM_LNC008302)". Lineage: Eukaryota; Viridiplantae; Streptophyta; Magnoliopsida; Rosales; Rosaceae. The record is from RNAcentral.